Syngnathus acus (greater pipefish) is the source of this 2011-nucleotide long non-coding RNA. RefSeq lists it as uncharacterized. The record is from RefSeq and is a predicted model, not a curated record. Lineage: Eukaryota; Metazoa; Chordata; Actinopteri; Syngnathiformes; Syngnathidae. The transcript is spliced from 2 exons.
UGGUCUUGGCUUUUAAUGGCACGCUUCAGAACAAGGGUGUCUAAACAUUUUCUUCCAAGGGCUGCAUACAGGAAAAAUCAAGGAUGUACAAUACUGGCAAGUCGGAAGCUUAAAAGCACCUUGAAUUGAAUCAAUGUUCAAACCAAUCCAUCGAUGUACAUAGGUGACCUUAUGUCCUCGUUGUCCGGCGGAAGCCUUUAAAGUCCAAAUAUGGUCAAGUUCUUUUUUUUCACAAAUCAAUACAAAUGGUCCGUCUCCACCUCGUCUGUGAUUUUUACACAAUAGAAGCCAAUUUAAAGCGGUGAACUUGAAAACAAAUAAACACUGCCACUUUGAUUGCAACUUAUGUUUGAGACCUGUUGCAAAACUACUUCCGUUUCCUCGUUUUGCCAAGCCUGGGAGGCCGGUGCCUCGGCCGGGGAGUCGUCUUUGUCGGACACGUUUGAACGAGGGAGCGCACUGAGGUGUACUGACAGAGGAUCCAGAUCACUUGUGGCCUUUGUUAACGGUACAUUUGGACAAUGAGUCAUGCUGUAGCGUCACCUGUUGAGGAGCUGCAUGAUCCCAGGCCAUACCUCCCCUGAUGGACAGCAGGUGUCCCACAGUCCACUUGGACACUUUGUGCAUGAGACAACGCCAAAUGUCCACCAGCUGUCUGGCAGCCAGCCCAACACCAGGCAUCGACAAGAAGCACCGGUUAUUUUAAUGUUUCACUUUGUCUUGUAGAUUGCCUUAUUUGCUUCAAGACAAGGUUGACUCGUAAUUGAUUUAUCUAUGCCCAUUCUAAGGUCUUAUAUUAUGACUAAGGAAAUAUGCUGGCCAUAGGGGCUGUGAACAGCAUUGAGGAUGACGUCAGAGCAAUCAGAUCGGGUGCUUGCUAAGUGUUAUCUUCUGGUAAAGCAAUGACAUCAUUACCACAUUUCUGUCACUUCAUCUUUGAUUCCAAUGAAAGAAAAUGAUUCCAAGACAAGACCAAGAAAAAUAGUAGGUCAACUAUCUAAUGUAGCCAUAUUUUGUUAUUGACAAUCACUAUUUGUUGCUUAUUCACAUGAGGAAAGCUGUACCAUACUAAAAGCCUGUUUUUUUGUGUGUGCAUAGUAUUAUGUGACAGAUGGGCAGGGCAUAGGGACUUGGCUGGCCUGCUAAUAGCAAAAAAUAUACAUGUAUAUAAGUGUCGGGCAUUAAAAUGCAUGACGGGGCUGCGAAAAAAAAAAAAUGGUGGCCACAACAAAAAAGCAAACAAAAAAUAUGGCUCACCCUGAAGGGGAAAACUCGCAACACAGAUUCCAUAUUAUAGUUAGUUUAUCCUUUAUCUAAAUUAAUAAAGUUGUAAAUUAAAAUAUAAUAGUAUAAAUAAGUAGAUAUACUUGCAUCCCUAUUGAAAAAAAAAUGUUGACUGAUGCUUUGUUCCGAUGCAUUGUGGUUUGCUCAGAUACUUUCUAAGUUAAAAAGAAAGCGAACUGGGAGAAACCAACCAAUGACAACAACUGAUUUGGACUAGGGGAAAAAAAAUAUAUGUGUGAAAGCCGCCUGAGAAUGAACAUACAGGCUUUGGUUAUGAGAAGCCCUGUGCAUACACUUUGAGCGUUCCAUUUUGUAAUUGGUGGGGGUGAGAAGCUAAAAUAAGCAACAUGUCAUUUUCCCAUCGCCGGAGUUGUUGCGACUGUGCAAAGACUGUGAGAUGUGCGACCUGAUACUGUUGCCAGUUAUUCUGAAACAGAGACACGGAACAAUUGCCAAAACAACACAAAGCAACUCGCCGCCUCAUCUGUUUGCCUGACUCUGAGGCUCAGUACCGGAAAGCAAGGUAGCACUACAUAUUUGAGCACUACCAGUUUAUAUACUGUGGAAAACAAUGUUGACUGAGAUUGUUGGAACUAAAUGUUGAUACAAUAUUAUGAUGAUAUUUUGCCAACAAUACAAUGUAGAGCAAUUACACAGGGAUAUAUACCACUGGUACUUAUGAUAUAUAAAAUUAAAUACGUAAAUACGUAGUAUGUACUGUAAAUGA